UGCAACCCGACUCCAUGAAGCUGGAUUCGCUAGUAAUCGCGCAUCAGCCACGGCGCGGUGAAUACGUUCCCGGGCCUUGUACACACCGCCCGUCAAGCCAUGGAAGCCAGGAGUGCCUGAAGUGCGUGACCGCAAGGAGCGUCCUAAGGCAAUACCGGUGACUGGGGCUAAGUCGUAACAAGGUAAC
This 187-nucleotide ribosomal RNA is filed under the name uncultured bacterium. Its description in RNAcentral is "partial 16S ribosomal RNA". It matches the Rfam family "Bacterial small subunit ribosomal RNA", at positions 1306 to 1500 of the family's 1533-position model. The record is from RNAcentral.